UGGGUGGUUGGCAGAGCGGUAGAUGCAUCCGGCUUUUAACCGGAAUCAGGUAGGUUCAACUCCUACACCACCACCCA
Molecule: transfer RNA, 77 nt
Filed under: Roseofilum sp. SBFL
Lineage: Bacteria; Bacillati; Cyanobacteriota; Cyanophyceae; Desertifilales; Desertifilaceae
Also listed under: 5 other names
Description: tRNA-Lys
Rfam family: tRNA
About the family: Transfer RNA (tRNA) molecules are approximately 80 nucleotides in length. Their secondary structure includes four short double-helical elements and three loops (D, anti-codon, and T loops).
Source: RNAcentral